Molecule: unclassified non-coding RNA, 649 nt
Filed under: Hevea brasiliensis (rubber tree)
Lineage: Eukaryota; Viridiplantae; Streptophyta; Magnoliopsida; Malpighiales; Euphorbiaceae
Source: RNAcentral
GGAAAUAUGUCAUUGUCAUCGAAAAUGCCUUCGUUUUCGAGUACUUCCUCGAGCUUGGAUUGGGCGGGAUAUGGGAUUGGCCCAGCGUUUGUGUUCGUUGUGGAUGCUUGUACAUCGGAUGAGGAGCUGGGGGUGGUGAAAAAUGAGCUUCUUCAUGUGAUUGCUCAAUUGCCUGAAACUGCAUUAGUUGGGUUGGUGGUAUUUGAUUCAAUGGUUAGAGUUUAUGAUCUUGGUUUUGGAGAGUGCUGUAGAGUUGUGAUGUUCCAUGGUGAGCGUGAGCUUUCUUCUGAGCAGACCAAGCAACUCCUGGGUAUUCAUCGUAUGAAGUACCAAGCAGGAAUGGUACAUAUGGCUCCAAAACAGGGAUUCCUGAUACCACUGUCAGAAGGGGAGUUCAGCAUCACAUCAGCAAUCGAAGAUAUCCAUUCUUCACCGCAGGUUAUGCCAGGGCAUAGACCUUUACGGGCUACAGGAGUAGCAGUAUCAGUUGCUGUUGGACUACUAGAAGGAUGCUUGGUCUCUGCAGGUUCGCGUAUCAUGGUCUUCACCUCAGGGCCAGCAACAAUCGGCCCAGGGAUGAUUGUAAACUCUGAUUUUGGCAAUACCAUUAGGAAUCAGCGAGACAUUGGUAAUGGUUAUGCACCAUACU